CCACAUCCAGACUUCGCAACGACGAUGAAUGGAAAAAGAAAUCACAACUAGAUGCCAACGGACAACUAGGAAAAACUCGACGUUUACCAAGACCAACGGAGAGGUAACCAGACAUUAAUGAAUGACUGGAAAGGAUACAACCAUACGUCAGAGGACGUAAUGGGAAAAACUCAACGUCUACCAAGACCAACGGAGAGGUAAAUCCACGUGGGGACAGGUACAACUAGACGUCAUAGGACGAAUAGGAAAAACUCGACGU
Molecule: long non-coding RNA, 259 nt
Filed under: Lathyrus oleraceus (garden pea)
Lineage: Eukaryota; Viridiplantae; Streptophyta; Magnoliopsida; Fabales; Fabaceae
Description: Pisum sativum (pea) long non-coding RNA (PSAT_LNC008673)
Source: RNAcentral